RNAcentral lists this ribosomal RNA (443 nucleotides) under uncultured bacterium. RNAcentral's name for it is "partial 16S ribosomal RNA". It matches the Rfam family "Bacterial small subunit ribosomal RNA", at positions 338 to 795 of the family's 1533-position model. The record is from RNAcentral.
CCUACGGGUGUCAGCAGUGGGGAAUAUUGGACAAUGGGGGGAACCCUGAUCCAGCGACGCCGCGUGAGUGAAGAAGUAUUUCGGUAUGUAAAGCUCUAUCAGCAGGGAAGAAAGAAAUGACGGUACCUGACUAAGAAGCCCCGGCUAACUACGUGCCAGCAGCCGCGGUAAUACGUAGGGGGCAAGCGUUAUCCGGAUUUACUGGGUGUAAAGGGAGCGUAGACGGCGAUGCAAGUCUGAAGUGAAAGGCGGGGGCUCAACCUCCGGACUGCUUUGGAAACUGUAUGGCUGGAGUGCAGGAGAGGUAAGUGGAAUUCCUAGUGUAGCGGUGAAAUGCGUAGAUAUUAGGAGGAACACCAGUGGCGAAGGCGGCUGACUGGACUGUAACUGACGUUGAGGCUCGAAAGCGUGGGGAGCAAACAGGAUUAGAUACCCCAGUAGUC